RNAcentral lists this ribosomal RNA (879 nucleotides) under Fulvifomes imbricatus. RNAcentral's name for it is "eukaryotic LSU rRNA". It matches the Rfam family "Eukaryotic large subunit ribosomal RNA", at positions 66 to 915 of the family's 3401-position model. The record is from RNAcentral. Lineage: Eukaryota; Fungi; Basidiomycota; Agaricomycetes; Hymenochaetales; Hymenochaetaceae.
UAACAAGGAUUCCCCUAGUAACUGCGAGUGAAGCGGGAAGAGCUCAAAUUUAAAAUCUGGCGGCUUUUUGGUCGUCCGAGUUGUAACCUGGAGAGGCAUUUUCCGCGUUGGACCGUGUACAAGUCUCCUGGAAUGGAGCGUCAUAGAGGGUGAGAAUCCCGUCCAUGACACGGACCGCCAAUGCUCUGUGAUAUGCCUUCGAAGAGUCGCGUUGUUUGGGAAUGCAGCGCAAAAUGGGUGGUAAAUUCCAUCUAAAGCUAAAUAUUGGCGAGAGACCGAUAGCGAACAAGUACCGUGAGGGAAAGAUGAAAAGCACUUUGAAAAGAGAGUUAAACAGUACGUGAAAUUGUUGAAAGGGAAACGCUUGAAGUCAGUCGCGUUCCGUGGAACUCAGCCUUACUUCGGUUCGGUGUACUUUCCAUGUGAACGGGUCAACGUCAAUUUUGGCCGGUGGACAAAGACAAGGGGAAUGUAGCGUUGCUUCGGUGACGUGUUAUAGCUCUUUGUUGUAUACGCCGGCUGGGAUUGAGGACUGCAGCACGCCCUUGUGGCCGAGGGGUUCGCCUCUACGUACCGUGCUUAGGAUGUUGGCAUAAUGGCUUUAAGCGACCCGUCUUGAAACACGGACCAAGGAGUCUAACAUGCUUGCGAGUGUUCGGGUGGAAAACCCUUGCGCGUAAUGAAAGUGAAAGUUAGGAACCUUCUCGCAAGAGAGGGUGCACUGACGCCCGGCCCUGACGUUCUCUGACGGUGCUGCGGUAGAGCAAGUAUGUUGGGACCCGAAAGAUGGUGAACUAUGCCUGAAUAGGGCGAAGCCAGAGGAAACUCUGGUGGAGGCUCGUAGCGAUUCUGACGUGCAAAUCGAUCGUCAAAUUUGGG